AACGCGAAGAACCUUACCAGGGCUUGACAUCCUCUGUAAACUGCAGAAAUGCAGUCCCCAUAGCAAUAUGGCAGGGUGACAGGUGCUGCAUGGCUGUCGUCAGCUCGUGUCGUGAGAUGUUGGGUUAAGUCCCGCAACGAGCGCAACCCUCGUCGAGUGUUGCCAUCAUUCAGUUGGGCACUCACUCGAGACCGCCGUUGAUAAGACGGAGGAAGGUGGGGAUGACGUCAAGUCCGCAUGGCCCUUACGUCCUGGGCUACACACGUGCUACAAUGGCCGGUACAACGAGCAGCAAGACCGCGAGGUCAAGCGAAUCUCUGAAAGCCGGUCUCAGUUCGGAUCGAAGGCUGCAACUCGCCUUCGUGAAGUCGGAAUCGCUAGUAACUGCAGAUCAGCUACGCUGCGGUGAAUACGUUCCCGGGCCUUGUA
Molecule: ribosomal RNA, 429 nt
Filed under: uncultured bacterium
Lineage: Bacteria
Description: bacterial SSU rRNA
Rfam family: Bacterial small subunit ribosomal RNA
Source: RNAcentral